RNAcentral lists this ribosomal RNA (253 nucleotides) under uncultured bacterium. Its description in RNAcentral is "partial 16S ribosomal RNA". It matches the Rfam family "Bacterial small subunit ribosomal RNA", at positions 524 to 776 of the family's 1533-position model. The record is from RNAcentral.
UACGGGGGGGGCAAGCGUUGUUCGGAAUUACUGGGCGUAAAGGGUCUGUAGGUGGCUUGCUAAGUCAGACGUGAAAUCCCUCGGCUUAACCGGGGAACUGCGUCUGAUACUGGCGAGCUUGAGUGCAGGAGAGGAACGCGGAAUUCCAGGUGUAGCGGUGAAAUGCGUAGAGAUCCGGAGGAACACCAGUGGCGAAGGCGACACGCUGGGCCGUACCUGACGCUAAAGCGCGACAGCAUGGGGAGCAAACGGG